GCAUAUCAAUAAGCGGAGGAAAAGAAACCAACCGGGAUUGCCUUAGUAACGGCGAGUGAAGCGGCAAAAGCUCAAAUUUGAAAUCUGGUACCUUCGGUGCCCGAGUUGUAAUUUGUAGAGGGCGACUUUGGGGCGGCUCCUUGUCUAUGUUCCUUGGAACAGGACGUCAUAGAGGGUGAGAAUCCCGUGUGGCGAGGAGUGCGGUUCCGUGUAAAGCGCUCUCGAAGAGUCGAGUUGUUUGGGAAUGCAGCUCUAAGUGGGUGGUAAAUUCCAUCUAAAGCUAAAUAUUGGCGAGAGACCGAUAGCGAACAAGUACAGUGAUGGAAAGAUGAAAAGAACUUUGAAAAGAGAGUGAAAAAGUACGUGAAAUUGUUGAAAGGGAAGGGCAUUUGAUCAGACAUGGUGUUUUGUGCCCCUCGCUCCUUGUGGGUGGGGGAAUCUCGCAGCUCACUGGGCCAGCAUCAGUUUUGGCGGUCGGAUAAAACCAGGGGAACGUAGCUUGCUUCGGGAAGUAUUAUAGCCUCUGGGAAUACGGCCAGCCGGGACUGAGGAACGCGAUUCGUCAAGGAUGCUGGCAUAAUGGUUAUAUGCCGCCCGUCUUGAAACACGGACCAAGGAGUCUAACGUCUAUGCGAGUGUUUGGGUGUGAAACCCAUACGCGUAAUGAAAGUGAACGUAGGUUGGGGCCUGUCAAAGGGUGCACAAUCGACCGAUCCUGAUGUUUUCAGAUGGAUUUGAGUAAGAGCAUAGCUGUUGGGACCCGAAAGAUGGUGAACUAUGCCUGAAUAGGGUGAAGCCAGAGGAAACUCUGGUGGAGGCUCGUAGCGGUUCUGACGUGCAAAUCGAUCGUCGAAUUUGGGUAUAGGGGCGAAAGACCUAAUCGAACCAUCUAGUAGCUGGUUCCUGCCGAAGU
Molecule: ribosomal RNA, 913 nt
Filed under: Maudiozyma exigua
Lineage: Eukaryota; Fungi; Ascomycota; Saccharomycetes; Saccharomycetales; Saccharomycetaceae
Description: LSU rRNA
Rfam family: Eukaryotic large subunit ribosomal RNA
Source: RNAcentral